GGGGGUGCUAUACAUGCAAGUCGAGCGGACAGAUGGGAGCUUGCUCCCGUGAUGUUAGCGGCGGACGGGUGAGUAACACGUGGGCAACCUGCCCGUUAGACUGGGAUAACUCCGGGAAACCGGAGCUAAUACCGGAUGGUCUCUUUCUCCACCUGGAGAGAGGGUGAAAGAUGGCUUCGGCUAUCACUAAGGGAUGGGCCCGCGGCGCAUUAGCUAGUUGGUGAGGUAACGGCUCACCAAGGCGACGAUGCGUAGCCGACCUGAGAGGGUGAUCGGCCACACUGGGACUGAGACACGGCCCAGACUCCUACGGGAGGCAGCAGUAGGGAAUCUUCCGCAAUGGACGAAAGUCUGACGGAGCAACGCCGCGUGAGUGAGGAAGGCCUUCGGAUCGUAAAGCUCUGUUGUGAGGGAAGAAGCGGUACCGUUCGAAUAGGGCGGUACCUUGACGGUACCUCACCAGAAAGCCACGGCUAACUACGUGCCAGCAGCCGCGGUAAUACGUAGGUGGCAAGCGUUGUCCGGAAUUAUUGGGCGUAAAGCGCGCGCAGGCGGCUUCUUAAGUCUGAUGUGAAAUCUCGGGGCUCAACCCCGAGCGGCCAUUGGAAACUGGGGAGCUUGAGUGCAGAAAAGGAGAGUGGAAUUCCACGUGUAGCGGUGAAAUGCGUAGAGAUGUGGAGGAACACCAGUGGCGAAGGCGACUCUCUGGUCUGUAACUGACGCUGAGGCGCGAAAGCGUGGGGAGCGAACAGGAUUAGAUACCCUGGUAGUCCACGCCGUAAACGAUGAGUGCUAAGUGUUAGGGGUUUCCAGGCCCGUAGUGCCGCAGUUAACACAUUAAGCACUCCGCCUGGGGAGUACGGUCGCAAGACUGAAACUCACAGGAAUUGACGGGGACCCGCACAAGCGGUGGAGCAUGUGGUUUAUUUCUAAACCACCC
Molecule: ribosomal RNA, 940 nt
Filed under: Shouchella clausii
Lineage: Bacteria; Bacillati; Bacillota; Bacilli; Caryophanales; Bacillaceae
Description: bacterial SSU rRNA
Rfam family: Bacterial small subunit ribosomal RNA
Source: RNAcentral